CUGUCGCCAAGCGGUAAGGCACAGGACUUUGACUCCUGCAGUCGUGGGUUCGAAUCCCGCCAGC
RNAcentral lists this transfer RNA (64 nucleotides) under bovine gut metagenome. It matches the Rfam family "tRNA", at positions 5 to 66 of the family's 71-position model. From Rfam's summary of the family: Transfer RNA (tRNA) molecules are approximately 80 nucleotides in length. Their secondary structure includes four short double-helical elements and three loops (D, anti-codon, and T loops). The record is from RNAcentral.